This 68-nucleotide transfer RNA is filed under the name Dichelops melacanthus. RNAcentral's name for it is "tRNA-Cys". Lineage: Eukaryota; Metazoa; Arthropoda; Insecta; Hemiptera; Pentatomidae. The record is from RNAcentral.
AAGCUUUAUAGUCAAUUAUAUUAUGAUAUUAGACUGCAAUUCUAAAGUAGAUUUACAUCUAAAGCUUA